This 1862-nucleotide long non-coding RNA is filed under the name Takifugu rubripes (torafugu). RNAcentral describes it as "lncRNA (ENSTRUG00000027362.1)". Lineage: Eukaryota; Metazoa; Chordata; Actinopteri; Tetraodontiformes; Tetraodontidae. The record is from RNAcentral.
CAGAGGCUGCUUGGCUGUGUCACACCCUUCUGUAAAAAUCAGCUAUUAGAAUAAUUGUAUUUAUUUCUUUCUGAUGCGCCACUUUCAGCCGGAACUGCUAUAAAAGUGCACAUGGGUCCGUUUGUGAACAAGACCCAGAUCUGAGGGGGUUUUCGUUCCCAUGGCAGGAACUACUCAACCUCAACUCCAUACAGGUUAGAUGGAAGCAGGAAAGGAACUUUUUAGCGUUCCCUGUGAAGAUCCGACUAUUUUAGCAAACGUGCAGCAACAGCAUCAGGAACAAGGCGGCGUUUGCAGGUACAAACCCCGAAUCUUCACUUCCUCCUGUAGAUGAUGAGACACUCAAAUGAAGGAAUCUGAGUGGUGGCUGGUUCAUUUCUGCCUGAGCUCAGUGUUCCCGACACCAGCAGACAAAGAAAGCCAAGCAAAACUGCACCGGGGACCACGGCCCCGAUGCUAAACGCCAAGAAACCCAACUAGCCCUAACCAGUCCUGGUGGUCACAGGACAGCACAUCUGGAGUUAAGCACUAGGAGCCAGGGAAGAAGUGGAUGUUGCCACUGAAAUCGAAACCUUCUCUGAGACGUUUGCACCGUUAGUUGGUGAAGACGUUGCUCUUUUUUAUGCAUCAAAAAUAUUUCCAACAGAUUUCCAUAGUUCUGAUGCUUCCCCUCAUAAAAAGCUUUAACAAAGAGGCCGUAACUUACAGACGGCGUUCUUGUGGCUGGAGUCUUUGCUGGGCAUCAUCUUCACCCCUCUGGACUUCAGCUCUAUCGUUUUCUUCACUGUGGGGAACAAGACAGAGCCCAGUGGCCACCAGCAGGAGGACCCCCCCACCCAUGUGAGCCUGGGAAUGUCUGGCAGGUUUAAGCUGCAGAAGAGUUUCACCUUAAUGAACUGCGCUCCUCCUCCUUGACCAUGAACUGACAUAAAAACACAACAAGGCCAUGGAAGCAUCAAGCAAAAUUCUCCUACAGACCUCUGCCUAAUGGGUUGCAAGCUCUCCUCAACCUUUUAUUGGAAAGGAUAAAUGGUAUGUAGAAAUCAUUUCUAAAAUAAUUGCCAAAAAGUAAAUUGUUGUCCACUAAUAAUAAAAAUCCAACUCAAAAGUGUAACCAAGGCCCCCACUCAGUCAUUGAAACUCUAAAUUGUCUAAUUAGGGGUGAAUUUGAGUUUUUAAUCUCAGUUUGAUCUCUGGUAAAGUGCAUCAUAGCCAUCGAGUUUGGUUAACAAAGUGACGCAGGGCCGUGGACGGUUUCAGUGUCUGUGUGACAGAGUGAUGAUGUCACUUCCUGAGGGAAGGCUUGCAAGGACUGAGGAGGUGUCAGAAGUGCAGCAGACCCGAACCGUCAGCGGCAGCGGGUGCCGUGUAAUCACAAUAUGUCCAAGUCUAUUGAUUUGUUUUUAGAAGGACACAUUAUCAAUCAUUACUGUAAACUGAAUGUGGUUUGUGUUCAUUAAGGGUGCGGCGCUGUGCUGAGAACUGUGGGUGAUUCACAUUAGAGAUGAACCGACUGAUACUAUGUGGGAACCCUUUUACAGUCUGUGUAUGAACAAUAAUUAAACAUACUCUGGAAUUUUAUGUCUUGUGGAAGUUAAUGUAUAAUAGAGGCAUUUCAGGAUUAAUCACGGCUAAAAUCUGCCUCAUUAGUUUGAUGUCUGACACACACAGGAAGAGAAGAUAGAGAAGGUUUAUCAUUAGGACCCAUCCCUGUUUCAGGCAUCACAAAGCCACUCCUCAUUAAAAUCACUGACUAUCACAGCGAUGAUGAAUUACAGCCAAUUUGUCAGUUUGCAGCAUCGGAAACCGGGUUAAAAUCAAUGUAGCCCGCAAUAUGGAGCAAAAUAUGAUUUUAAUUGCAC